RNAcentral lists this ribosomal RNA (465 nucleotides) under uncultured bacterium. RNAcentral's name for it is "partial 16S ribosomal RNA". It matches the Rfam family "Bacterial small subunit ribosomal RNA", at positions 338 to 795 of the family's 1533-position model. The record is from RNAcentral.
CCUACGGGAGGCUGCAGUGGGGAAUAUUGCGCAAUGGGCGAAAGCCUGACGCAGCGACGCCGCGUGAGGGAUGAAGGUCUUCGGAUCGUAAACCUCUGUCAGCAGGGAAGAACGGUCACUGUGCUAAUCAGCAGUGAAUUGACGGUACCUGCAAAGGAAGCACCGGCUAACUACGUGCCAGCAGCCUCGGUAAUACGGAGGGUGCGAGCGUUCAUCGGAAUUACGGGGCGUAAAGCCCUCGUAGGCGGUAUGUCAAGUCAAGGGUGAAAUCCCCGCGCUCACCGUGGGAACUGCCUUUGAAACUGGCAAACUGGAGUGUGUGAGAUGAUAGUGGAAUUCCAGGUGUAGGAGUGAAAUCCGUAGAUAUCUGGAGGAACAUCAGUGGCGAAGGCGACUAUCUGGCACAUAACUGACGCUGAGGAGCGAAAGCGUGGGUAGCAAACAGGAUUAGAUACCCUUGUAGUC